UCUGCCGUUUGAUUUGAGCGUGCUGUACUCUACCGGCGCGACUUGCCUCCCUCGCUGAAGCUCCCCCUGGUGCCCUUGACAACGUCCUGAGAUUGCAAAGCUCACCACCGCAAUGUGUCCACUGCUACCCCUUUGCUGAGAGCUAUUCUGCCCCUGAUUAAAUGUGGCAUCGCUUCCUCUGUUUGGUCUAUUUCUGAUGUGUAUAGUGUCCCUGCUAAUGGCUCUCAUCUACCGAGGUAAGAUCGGGUGCUGAAGUCGCCGUUCCCCCUGAGUUGCAUGGCUAUUCCAGGUUUCCAUUUCCACACUCCUAGACGGAGUAACUGUCCACUGCCUCUGUAGCUGAUUUACUGCUGCCAUCGCUGCCAGUUGGUGAGCUAAGGAGUUGCCUUCUCGUGGAGUCCAAGUAGCUCCCACAUCCGGAGCCUCUUCCAGCAGUU
This is a non-coding RNA of Arachis ipaensis, 437 nucleotides long. Lineage: Eukaryota; Viridiplantae; Streptophyta; Magnoliopsida; Fabales; Fabaceae. The record is from RefSeq and is a predicted model, not a curated record.